RNAcentral lists this long non-coding RNA (1236 nucleotides) under Rattus norvegicus (Norway rat). RNAcentral describes it as "long non-coding RNA NONRATT021456". The record is from RNAcentral. Lineage: Eukaryota; Metazoa; Chordata; Mammalia; Rodentia; Muridae.
GGGCUGCGCGUGGACCCUGGAGGGAGAGGAUGAUGAAGACGACGAGGAAGAAGAAGAUGAGGAGGAGGAAGAAGAGGAGGCUGCAGCUGGCGCAACUGGGGGUCCCGACUCUGCCGAGAAGUGAGCACAGCAGCUGACAGGUGACAAAUCCCCUGCCCCUUUUAUUUCCGAUGUCGGGAGACUUUAAAAGGCUCAGAAUUUGCCCAAAAUACAAUGUGAAUCUAUUCUAACAUUCCAAAAAUUAAAUUGAAUCAAGUAGAUUCUGGCUAGCCCGUUUCUAAUCUAACUUUGAUUUGUGUAAAACAGAUGCAAAAGACGUUUUUUGUUUUGUUUUGUUUUUUUUUAAACGGCCUAAUUAAACUUAUUUUUUUUCUCUCCCUGCUCUUCUGUGAGAACCAGACUUGAGACUGAUGAAAGGUUGUCAGUUAGAUGGGAAUUAAAGUGCGUCACACGUUGAAAUCCAUUCAUCACACUACACCUUAACACCCAAGCUAAGACAGAACUCUUCUCAAUGCUUAAUUCUUCAGUUUCUUUACAUUUCCCAGCGCAGAGGAAGAGGAACCCAAGAACGACGUCAUCUUUAAGACUUUUGCUUUUGCAAACCCAGACAUCAGCUUUACACUCCAGAGGAGACAAGGCAUGGAGGAAGGCUGGACUGACAGCAUUUACUGUUUAUGUGGCUAGAAAAACUGCCAUUUCAAGUUGUGAAAAAUGUUUUGAAUAUUUGAAUUUACAGAAAGAACACGGUUCCAAAAAUAAGGGUGUAUUCCAUGUAUAAUAUUGUCAACACGUGUUCAUCUGUAAUGGUCUCAUGUUAUCUGUUUUCUUGGUAGUGUUUGUUUACAAAAUCGUAAAAAUUACCCCAAAUGUUUUAAGUAUUAAAUUCCCUUAUAGCAUUUUAGAAAUAUAAUUUACUUGAAGAGAUGUAGAAUGUAGCAAUUCUGUAAAGCAUGUGUAUCCAGUGUUGCCUAGUUUGACUUUGUGAAGUCUUUUUGUCUUGUAGCUUUUAGCAAGUAGCUGUGAAAACCAUCAGAACUCCUCAAUGAAGCUAAUGUUUGGAAAAAAGUAUAUACUUGAAGAACCAACCCAAGUGUGUAUCCCCAACCCCAGCUCAGAAAUAGGAAGGAUUUAAGUUUGCUUGUAUUAGCUGUGCCUUCAUUAUUUUGCUAUGUAAAUGUGACUUAUUAAAUGGUGCAUAAUCAAAUUUUAUUGCUUGAGGACAAAAAUGGCAUAAAG